CGACCGAAGACUUACACAAUGAGCGAUGGCUUUUACACUCUUACUGCACACUUUUGGGCGCUGCGCUGCUAUUUCGGCUUUUGCAUAACUUUUAUUGUUGCAAACACAGCUGGCCGAAUUCGGGCGAAGAGCGCCGACGAGCCGAGCGCGAGGAGUCGACGAGAGCAGAACGCGGAAGUGAACUCGCUCGUAGCCGACUGUUGCUCAUCUCCCGACGACGCCAUUGUCCGUGCACCGCGCCAGAGUGUGUGUGUGUGUGCGUGUAUCUGCGUCCUGCGGACGUGUCCUGAAAGCUGGAGCUGGCAAUGCGGCCGGUAGUCGCAUCGUCGCAUCUGGCUAACGCCGCCAUAAAACGCAACGCAUUCAAUGUGGCAAGCGAAACAAUGAGCUGCUUCUGCCGCCGCUGUUGCUCCUGCUGCUCAUCGCUGUAUCCUUCGAAAUUGUCCUAGUCGCAAUCGCAGUCGCAGUCGCUCGUCGUGUCGUGUGUAUGCAAUUUUGCAUUAAUUUUAUUUGCUGCCCUGGCCCAGAACCCCAACUGCAGCUUAGUUGUGGGCUUUGGCAAUCGCAAUUUUAAAACCAGUGUGCCACCGGCAGCAAUUAUAGUCCAGUUCAAUGAACAAAUGUGAAAAGGAAGGCAAAAUUAUUACAUUUUGGCGCCAAAAAGUUUGACACGCAUCUGCAAGUGUGAGUGUGUGAGCGAGCUUGUGUAUCAACUUGGCAAGCAUGUGGCUAGAAAAACUCUGUCCGCUGGAGAGUUGGCACUGCUAACUGCUUUCUGAUACCUCCGGCCACAGCUGGUAAGCCUACUACUUUGGCAUUCAGCAAUUUAUUAACGAUAUAUAGCAAAGCUCCCUGGGCUAUAAUAAAUGUAAACUCAGUGUGUAUUCGCAGUGCGCUUACCUAAUUAUUUCUUUAAAUAACCGUAUAUUGGCUGCCUAAUGAAAGAGUCUCAUUAUCUGAUACACGGACUUUACGUCACUGGAUUACAACACUGCGUAUACGAAACGUUUUCAACAGAGAGCAUCGUUAAGCCCAUUGGCCACAUAACUAAUUUCACAGCAUGUAAUUAAAUAAUUCAAAUAAUAUUAAAUAGUUAAUAUAUUCAAGAGCACUUCACCAAAUGUAUCUCCGGAGAUAGCUUUACGCAAAGUGUAAAUUAAAUCAGCUCACGUGGCCAACUGCGAGUAAAUCGCAUCUCCCUUAUAAAACAGGAAGCCGCAGGCUUCUUCUCCGCGAGGAUAAGCAGUUAGACCGCGAUUUCUGGCACUACUCGGUGGGCCGAAAUACUUGAAAACUAAAACAACGCAUACAUUGUGCCAAAAUAGCCGACGGCAGAGCGCGAUUAUUUGCCGAAAUUCGAAUUAAUAAACAAACUGAAUAGGGCUUUUCAUGCUAAGAAGGGCUGUGAAUUAACGUGAGUGCAGUGCAAAUAAUAAUAACCCCACGUAACACGCAAAUCGGACUCAAUUCAAGUGCACAAAUAUAUGGCUAAUUGUGAAUAAAAGCGAUAUAACGUUUCUCACAGCACUAAUAUCUAAACACAAACAAAAGUCUUUUCAUUCGAAAACCAGGUAAAAGUCAAUUGCGUUUUCAGUCCUCGCCAAUUAUCGAUUUGCACUUGCUUUAGUGUCGCAAAAUAAAUGCACAAUGAAAUUGACUGUCCAAAAGGU
Non-coding RNA from Drosophila melanogaster (fruit fly), 1670 nucleotides. The record is from Ensembl. Lineage: Eukaryota; Metazoa; Arthropoda; Insecta; Diptera; Drosophilidae.